This is a long non-coding RNA of Tyto alba (common barn owl), 643 nucleotides long. RefSeq lists it as uncharacterized. The transcript has 2 exons. The record is from RefSeq and is a predicted model, not a curated record. Lineage: Eukaryota; Metazoa; Chordata; Aves; Strigiformes; Tytonidae.
GCUAGUCUCCCUGCUCUUUCUAGGACAGAGUCAGUGGACUCAGGACAGAAAACAGCAUGAGCAAGACCAUAAUGGAAAAGAUACCGCAAGGUACAAUACAAUGCAAUAGCGUAUUGCAUAAGGUACUACUGCUGUGGUUAUGAGAGCUCUAGGCUGAUCAAGGACAAGGAAGGGCAAGAUUCCACUACUACAUCUAGAGAAAGCUCCCUUUUGUCUGGUGGCAGCGAGAUCUAAUCACUAUUCCAGCCUGCAUAAUACAUCUGCAUCUAAAUACAGGCGUUUCAGGGUGCAUCUCUCUUUUUAAAGGAGGCUCACAGUGAAGCUCUGUGCUGCAACUUGAAAAGGCAGCCAGCACCCAGCCUGCAACAGGGAGAGGGAUGGAGCUCACAAGCCUUCAAGUGUCCUUUCCUCCUCCUGCAGGGCAAAGUCUACAGGGUGAAAAAAAACCCAGAGCAGGUCCCUCCUGGAUGCUGCUGCCCAGGACCUCCAUGCUUCUGUGUGAUACUACACCACUGUGUGCCCUGUUUGCCAGCACUAAGAAUGGCUGCUCAGAGGACCGUUAGACACUGUUUCCCUCUUCUUACAUCACAGAAUUUGUCUAUUCAUAAUUGUACCUGGGAUUAUUACAAUCUCUUUAAAUCUC